This 29-nucleotide non-coding RNA is filed under the name Mus musculus (house mouse). Lineage: Eukaryota; Metazoa; Chordata; Mammalia; Rodentia; Muridae. The record is from RNAcentral.
UGAUCUGAUUCUGCAAUUCUUCUGCCCUU